CACCAUUCUCUCAGCCACGUGUUCGGUUAUACGAAAUGGCGGCCACACUGGGGAAGCACUCAUUAAUUGUUUCCCUUGCGGUUUCGCACUUAAGUGGUUAAUGUUCUAAGAGACAAAUGGAUUCCGUUCGUAUGAAGUCUCCCGAACGGCCAAAGAAGAACCACACAAAGUAACUGGCAAAACACACACAAUAACAGGGGGGAAAGAUACAGACA
Molecule: non-coding RNA, 215 nt
Organism: Pelobates cultripes (western spadefoot toad)
Lineage: Eukaryota; Metazoa; Chordata; Amphibia; Anura; Pelobatidae
Source: the annotation of a GenBank genome assembly